AAUUGUCCACUGGGGUGCCAAUACGGCUGAGAUGAUACCCAUUGAACCUGAUUCUAGUUAAUACUAGCGUAGGAACGUGGUCACUUGAUCUUU
This 93-nucleotide non-coding RNA is filed under the name Fructobacillus fructosus. RNAcentral's name for it is "TPP sequence". It matches the Rfam family "TPP riboswitch aptamer (THI element)". From Rfam's summary of the family: Vitamin B(1) in its active form thiamin pyrophosphate (TPP) is an essential coenzyme that is synthesised by coupling of pyrimidine and thiazole moieties in bacteria. Lineage: Bacteria; Bacillati; Bacillota; Bacilli; Lactobacillales; Lactobacillaceae. The record is from RNAcentral.